Molecule: ribosomal RNA, 119 nt
Filed under: Xenopus tropicalis (tropical clawed frog)
Lineage: Eukaryota; Metazoa; Chordata; Amphibia; Anura; Pipidae
Source: RNAcentral
GCCUACGGCCAUAGCACCCUGAAAGCGCCCGAUCUCGUCUGAUCUCGGAAGCUAAGCAGGGACGGGCCUGGUUAGUACCUGGAUGGGAGACCGCCUGGGAAUACCAGGUGUUGUAGGCU